GCGCACCAGUCGCGAAAACUCCGCAAUACGCGAAAGCGUGACGGGGCUACCCCGAGUGUCGUCCGCUGAGGACGACUUUUCCACGCUGUAAGGAGGCGUGGGAAUAAGGAGAGGGCAAGUCUGGUGUCAGCCGCCGCGGUAAUACCAGCUCUCCGAGUGGUAGGGACGAUUAUUGGGCUUAAAGCGUCCGUAGCCGGCUCAGCAAGUCUCCCGUUAAAUCCAACGAUUCAAUCGUUGGACUGCGGGAGAUACUGUUGAGCUAGGAGGCGGGAGAGGCCGACGGUAUUCCCGGAGUAGGGGUGAAAUCUUAUAAUUCCGGGAGGACCACCAGUGGCGAAGGCUGUCGGCUAGAACGCGCUCGACGGUGAGGGACGAAAGCUGGGGGAGCGAACCGGAUUAGAUAUGAAGUUGAGUUUUUACCAGCUUCACUAGAAACCCCGGUAGUCC
RNAcentral lists this ribosomal RNA (447 nucleotides) under uncultured archaeon. Its description in RNAcentral is "partial 16S ribosomal RNA". It matches the Rfam family "Archaeal small subunit ribosomal RNA", at positions 330 to 747 of the family's 1478-position model. The record is from RNAcentral.